Molecule: long non-coding RNA, 1802 nt
Filed under: Taeniopygia guttata (zebra finch)
Lineage: Eukaryota; Metazoa; Chordata; Aves; Passeriformes; Estrildidae
Description: lncRNA (ENSTGUG00000019031.1)
Source: RNAcentral
GUUAUAGAAACUCCAUCUGAGUCCAUUUAAUGAACUACAUGAAUCAGAGACCUGCAAUAAAGCCCAAUUAGAAACGAGUGCACAGGGAAUAUUGAUCUCCUUAAAACCUUUUACAGCUUUCAGGAUCUGCCUGGUCACUCGUCACUGGAGCAGGCACUGGCGCUUUCCUGCUGGCUCCCAUUCACUCACUUGCUAGGAUUAUGGUCGGAUUAAGAUGUGAUUGAACAGAUCAGCUGGUGGGAACUCUGAGGUAUGAGGGAGAGCCCCCAGAUAACCCUUCUCACACAUGUUCACAGUCCUCUGGGUCAGAUUUUACUGCAAAUUCAGAGGGAAUUUGUACAGCAGUGCCUGCUUUUUCUCUGAGCAACACCAAAAAAGCCGUCUGAGAUCUUCCUUUUUACUAAUGAACAUCUGGAGGCUCUUGAGCUCACAGAGGUCACAGCUGACAGCAUUACCAUGCAAAGCACACCCAUGAAAGGGUCUUCUGAACUCCCCUCACUCGACAUCUUCAGCCUUGUUUGCGGUAUAUUACAGGUAAGAACCCCUGUGGUAAUGAAGCACACAUUAUUCAAAUAAGGUAUUUGAAUAAGAUGUUUAAGAAGUGUGCGUUAAAGUGGAUUUGUGGCAUCCUAGCCAAAACACCACUCAAAGUCAGAUGAUUUCAGACUCUUCCAAGCUGCACUUCAGAUGAUGUAUGGUAUCCAGAAGCCCAUAUCCAAAGGGUGUAGGUGGGAUUUGAAUAAUUUUGGAUCAUUAGAUUUUUUUGAAUUAUAAAAGUCUCUGUUCAGUUGUGGUCCAAAGCUGGAUACACAUCAGAUAUGUACAUUUCAGUCUUCACAAUGCAGGAUCCGCUUCAACACCCACACAGAAGCACUCCAGCCUCAGCUGUGUUCAGACCACCUGUGUGAGUAAGUGCUAAGGGAAAUCAUAAACAAAGUGUUCCUGCAUUUUGCUUGAUUUGAUAAGCCUCCUCCAAACACAGCCAUAGCAAAUAAAUAGAAAGACAAGAGCCAAAGCUUUCUCUAUUUCUCCAAGCUGUAUAGGCUUGUCUGGGACUGGCAAGAGGGAUUAGAGGACAAAAUAGUGAAUGUCUUAUGAUGAGGGUCUUUUGAAAUCCUUGGUAUGGAAAAUCUGAGGAUGACCUGCACCAGAGGGAAAGUAAUUAUAGUUUUCUCGAAGCAGCUGGGAUAUUUACAGAAAGGUCUUUAGUUCCAGGCACUGUUCCAAAGGCUGUUUAUGAGCUUGAAAUUAAAUAGUUGCUGAAUAAAAAUGCAAAGUAAUUCCUGAAGUAAUCUUGGACUCCAGGCCUCGCUCCAGAGACCGAAAGAUCUUCAACCACUAGGUUAGAACCAUACACCAAGCUUUAUUAUGAAUUCCAAAGGAGAAGAGCUUUAGCAGGCAGAGCCAAGAGCAGCACCACCUUGAGAAACCCCAGUUUCCCAGAGUCUGUUUAUACUGCAUUGGUACAAGGGUGGGGGUGAUUCCUGACAGCCAUAUGAGGUACAGUGAGCAGCCCUCUCCUAUGGAUUUCCCCAGCAGGACUCUGUUCACGGUGGGAAAGCCACUGCACGAGCCUUGUGGCAGCCCUGGGGGAUUUCAGCAGGUGCUACAGAUGUCCCUGGACAAGGGGGCUCCAGCUGUGCUGGCAGCUGCUGGCCCUGCCAAGGGCUCUGGGAUGCUGCAAGUACCCACCAGUGACCCAGCUGUAUCCUGUUCUAACCUGGGAAAGAGAAGCUGCAAAGACAGAAGCCAAGUUUUCUACAAUCCUGCUGCUCCGGGCUAAACUCAUCUCUGAUUUGGGU